Small nuclear RNA from Echinops telfairi (small Madagascar hedgehog), 157 nucleotides. Its record names the gene U1. It matches the Rfam family "U1 spliceosomal RNA". From Rfam's summary of the family: U1 is a small nuclear RNA (snRNA) component of the spliceosome (involved in pre-mRNA splicing). The record is from Ensembl. NCBI's taxonomy places the organism in Eukaryota, Metazoa, Chordata, Mammalia, Afrosoricida, Tenrecidae.
AUACUUACCUGGCAGGGGAGAUAACAUGAUCACGAAGGUGGUUUUCCCAGGGCGAGACUUAUCCAUUGUGCUCUGGAUGUGCUGACCCCUGCAAUUUCCCCAUAAAAAGGAAAAAAAAAAAAACAUAUGGCAAAAUAAUAAUAAUUUAUAAAUUAUC